This is a long non-coding RNA of Paramormyrops kingsleyae, 1445 nucleotides long. RefSeq lists it as uncharacterized. Lineage: Eukaryota; Metazoa; Chordata; Actinopteri; Osteoglossiformes; Mormyridae. The record is from RefSeq and is a predicted model, not a curated record.
CGUUGGGUUGUGUUUUCCUUUAACCCACCAAUUAAAGUUGCUAGCAACUCAUCAUAAAAAGCGAAAAACUAAAACCUAACUAACUAAGUAAUCCAGAUGUUUUGGAAUCUGUAGGAAAUGUGCAUAUUUGUAGGUAACUGGCGGCAUGUAAACAUUGAAAAGGCCAAGUUAGCAAGAUUGAAUUAGCAAUACGAUCGCACCUGACAGACAGCGCAGUGCGCCGGUCGGCGCCAAGCCGAUGGACCGUUACGGAGAGCGCGAGAAGCCGGCGCGUGCCAUCGAUGUCAACGAUGUCGUCUUGUUCUUGUUAACAUUGUUGGCUUAACAUUUCAUUCAGUCGUGGGGUUCAUCCGCCGCCUGACCACUGCAGUCCAGAAACAUGCUAAGGAAAAUUAAAGUCGCCCCAUUGUCCGAGGGUGUGAAAGAUAAGUGUGUUAAUAUGCUCCGGCACCCCCGUCACUCUGCGUAGAACAGAAGAUGGAAAGAAUAAGACGGUCGAUGGAUCCCAGAAACAGAGAGCGAAUCGGCAGGGGGUGUGUUUCCCCACAUGAGAAGAGGACUAGGAGGAGACCAUUUUACACCCAGAAGUUUGAGCGCUCCCCCUGAAGAAACACUGACCUCAAUGGAGAGCAUUCCUCCUCAGCUCGCACUGCCGGUAGUCGUGUCGUCCCUCUUGGCUGGGGUGUUAACGUCGCCUUUCUGCCCGCCCAGGGUCCACAGGCUUGUGCCCACCCUGCAGCCUGUCACCUUUGUCGAGCGAAAACCGUUGUGCACACAGGCUAUAUUCACCUGAAACAGGAUUAAGUGAAGGGAUUAUGUUUUGCUCUGCCGUCAAACGGUGUCACCUUACCUGAGGAAGCACAGAUAAUGGAGACAGUUUAGGUGGUGGGGCUGAGGUGUCUGAUGCCAUUCUCAGUGACCGCAGCUCAGUUACAGUCCCUCCUUCAAGGCACCCCCCCCCACCACACACGCACACACGCACACACACACACACACCAGCCCCCGCCCCUUUCCCCAUGCUUCUCUCUGGGUGACAGCACCAUCCUGGGCCUUGUUCCACUGAGCUCCAAGCUCUGGAUAAUUACAUUGAAAUGAGACAUUAGCAUUUUGUGCGUUUUCUUUAUUAAUUGCGCAGUUCAGUCACCAUGAUGUCUAGUGAUCGAAUCGGGAAACCCUGUUGACCCAGCGCUGCCAGGCGUAUGAGCAGAAUUCUGUUUUUCUUCAACAGAGAUUACAUUUCUUUAUUUAUUUUAUUCUAUUUAAUUUUUUUUUUUGCUAUUUUUUAUUUUGGCAUUUUGAGGAGUCCUGCUGCUUUUAUUACAUUCCUGACGCUUUUGUUAAUACAUCAUUGCAAAGUUAAUGAAAAUUGCAUUCAGGCAUAUCCAGAAUGAUUGUGUCCUUUGUCAUGCUAAUAAAUUGAGAGAUGCUGGUCCUAUGGGUGAAAA